CUUGGGGGGUGGGGGUGUUCCCUCAGCAUGGAUUGUGAGAGGGCGCAGGCCAGGCCUAGGGACUCCACCGGUGCACA
This 77-nucleotide microRNA precursor is filed under the name Myotis brandtii (Brandt's bat). Its description in RNAcentral is "mir-9193 microRNA precursor family". It matches the Rfam family "mir-9193 microRNA precursor family". The record is from Rfam by way of RNAcentral. Lineage: Eukaryota; Metazoa; Chordata; Mammalia; Chiroptera; Vespertilionidae.